RNAcentral lists this ribosomal RNA (253 nucleotides) under uncultured bacterium. RNAcentral's name for it is "partial 16S ribosomal RNA". It matches the Rfam family "Bacterial small subunit ribosomal RNA", at positions 524 to 776 of the family's 1533-position model. The record is from RNAcentral.
UACGUAGGGUGCAAGCGUUAAUCGGAAUUACUGGGCGUAAAGCGUGCGCAGGCGGAUAUGUAAGACAGAUGUGAAAUCCCCGGGCUCAACCUGGGAACUGCAUUUGUGACUGCAGCGCUGGAGUGCGGCAGAGGGGGAUGGAAUUCCGCGUGUAGCAGUGAAAUGCGUAGAUAUGCGGGGGAACACCGAUGGCGAAGGCAAUCCCCUGGGCCUGCACUGACGCUCAUGCGCGAAAGCGUGGGGAGCAAACAGG